CCCUUAGAUGUUCUGGGCUGCAUGCGUGCUACACUGAUGCAUUCAGCAAGUAUACUUCCUUUGCCGAGAGGCCUGGGCAAUCUUGUAAACAUGCAUCGUGAUAGGGAUAGAUUUUUGCAAUUAUUAAUCUUUAACGAGGAAUUCCUAGUAAACGCAGAUCAUCAAUCUGCAUUGAUUACGUCCCUGCCCUUUGUACACACCGCCCGUCGCACCUACCGAUUGAAUGGUCCGGUGAAGCCUCGGGAUUAUGAACAAUGCCUUUGUUGGCAUUGUUUGUGAGAACUUGUCUAAACCUUAUCAUUUAGAGGAAGGUGAANUCGUANCA
RNAcentral lists this ribosomal RNA (325 nucleotides) under uncultured eukaryote. RNAcentral describes it as "partial 18S ribosomal RNA". It matches the Rfam family "Eukaryotic small subunit ribosomal RNA", at positions 1470 to 1796 of the family's 1831-position model. The record is from RNAcentral.